UAGCUCAGUCGGUGAAGAAUCUGCCUACAAUGCAGGAGACCCAGGUUCGAUUCCUGG
This 57-nucleotide transfer RNA is filed under the name Bos taurus (domestic cattle). It matches the Rfam family "tRNA", at positions 8 to 63 of the family's 71-position model. From Rfam's summary of the family: Transfer RNA (tRNA) molecules are approximately 80 nucleotides in length. Their secondary structure includes four short double-helical elements and three loops (D, anti-codon, and T loops). Further hydrogen bonds mediate the characteristic L-shaped molecular structure. tRNAs have two regions of fundamental functional importance: the anti-codon, which is responsible for specific mRNA codon recognition, and the 3' end, to which the tRNAs corresponding amino acid is attached (by aminoacyl-tRNA synthetases). tRNAs cope with the degeneracy of the genetic code in two manners: having more than one tRNA (with a specific anti-codon) for a particular amino acid; and 'wobble' base-pairing, i.e. permitting non-standard base-pairing at the 3rd anti-codon position. Lineage: Eukaryota; Metazoa; Chordata; Mammalia; Artiodactyla; Bovidae. The record is from Rfam by way of RNAcentral. RNAcentral also lists the same sequence under 4 other names.